ACUUUUUUAUGUAAACAAAAUCUUCCUAUGUUCAAGAUUUAUAUUUAUGCAAACAGAAAAUCCAUUUACCUACAGACAGAGUUCUCUACUUCAAAAUAUCCCCAUACGAGUGUUGACAACAUGUCAUCUGCAUAUGAAUAUACAAACAGGAGAACACCUUGAGCCAUAUAUAGUCAUAACCGCUGAUCACAAAUUCACAACAGAACAAAAUAUUUGUUUCUUAACACCAACAACAACAACCCCCAACACCCCACCACACACCAACACCCACACCCCCUCCUUUUUGUUGUAUUUCUUCCAACCACCAUGCCUCAGCGGUGUUUCUUGGUGAAAGAGAAGGUCCUUGAAGGAUGGUCAAGUGUUUUUUUCUAAAACAGAUAAUGCAGGUGUCAAAUAUUUGUUCGCUUUGCCGGGGUAGAUGUGGCACCAGCUUAUAGAGCUCCCUCCCUUGCCCAGCAGCGCAUUCACGACAAACCUCCUCAAUUAGUCUUUCCCAGCCUCUUGGCUUUCAGAACUUCCUCCCUUCUGGUAGGUUCUACUCCUAAACCUGUACAUGAGACUAAGACAGAGUUUGUUUCUUGCCCAGUAGGCAAAGGUUUUAUAUAUUCCAAAAUUAGCUUAAAGCUUCUCAGAUCUUGCUUUGUUCGUACAGGUGCUUCAACAGGUCUCUGCAGCAAGAAUAUCAAAUAGAACCAGCAAAACUAAACGAAAAGAAUUUGCAAAUCAAUCAGGUGCAUAACUAAUAAGUUGUCAACCAUAUCAUCAGGAAUUGUUCUUAAUUUUAGACUUAAAAAUUCUAUAAUCAUCUUUUCUACAAGUCCAAAUUAUCCAAGUAAUGCAAGGAAAUAUACCAGAAAGCUAUCACAAGAAAAAUUCUCACUUUAAAUGUUAAUACCCAGAUAAUGGUAAAGGCAAAUCAACAGUUUCUUAGGAGAUUGAAAAAGAAGUCAUAAACAGUGAUUUGGCAGAACUGCAACAUAAACUGUUAUAGUUGUACUCAUAAUUGGUCUGAGUAACAUUUCUGAAAUGAGAUCGUCUCCACUUCAGAGAGUAAUUUGAAAUUCCAUUUAGCCAUUGCUUUUAUAAUAAAUAAAAUGAGUUAAAAAGUUAUUAAGAAAGGAAUUCUACAGCCCAUCCCCUAUUUAAAGGUCAAAAGAAAGGGAGGACAAGAGAAAAGUCAUUUGCUCAUAAUUGUUAGAUGUUUUGAAACAAUUAUAGCCACUAAUUCUAAAUGUUUAUACAACAUAAAGCCUGUUUCAGGAAAUCUUAAUCGCGAUACGCAUCUGUUGUGACCUGGUCACAACCAAACAGAAGAAGAGAGGAAAGGGGGAAGAAUAGAAGAACGGGCAGAAGGAGACGAGAGAGAGAGAGAGA
RNAcentral lists this unclassified non-coding RNA (1374 nucleotides) under Hevea brasiliensis (rubber tree). The record is from RNAcentral. Lineage: Eukaryota; Viridiplantae; Streptophyta; Magnoliopsida; Malpighiales; Euphorbiaceae.